UACAGAGGUCUCAAGCGUUGUUCGGAUUCAUUGGGCGUAAAGGGCGCGUAGGCGGGAUGGCAAGUCGGUCGUGAAAUCCUUCGGCUCAACCGAAGAACGUCGAUCGAUACUGCUGUUCUUGAGGGUUGCAGAGGAGACUGGAAUUCCCGGUGUAGCGGUGAAAUGCGUAGAUAUCAGGAGGAACACCGGUGGCGAAGGCGGAUCUCUGGGCCUGUCCUGACGCUCAGGCGCGAAAGCUAGGGGAGCGAACAGG
RNAcentral lists this ribosomal RNA (253 nucleotides) under uncultured bacterium. RNAcentral's name for it is "partial 16S ribosomal RNA". It matches the Rfam family "Bacterial small subunit ribosomal RNA", at positions 524 to 776 of the family's 1533-position model. The record is from RNAcentral.